RNAcentral lists this ribosomal RNA (433 nucleotides) under uncultured bacterium. RNAcentral describes it as "bacterial SSU rRNA". It matches the Rfam family "Bacterial small subunit ribosomal RNA", at positions 354 to 796 of the family's 1533-position model. The record is from RNAcentral.
GUGGGGAAUAUUGCGCAAUGGGCGAAAGCCUGACGCAGCCACGCCGCGUGAGUGAUGAAGGCCUUCGGGUUGUAAAGCUCUGUCGGGAGGGACGAAGGGGAAACCCUGACGGUACCUCGCAAGAAAGCACCGGCUAACUCUGUGCCAGCAGCCGCGGUAAUACAGAGGGUGCAAGCGUUGCUCGGAUUUACUGGGCGUAAAGCGUACGCAGACGGCUGAAAGGGUCGGACGUGAAAGCCCUGGGCUCAACCCAGGAACUGCGUCCGAAACCGUUCGGCUCGAGUAUGGGAGAGGGAAGCGGAAUUCCUGGUGUAGAGGUGAAAUUCGUAGAUAUCAGGAGGAACACCGGCGGCGAAGGCGGCUUCCUGGCCCAUUACUGACGUUCAGGUACGAAAGCGUGGGUAGCAAACAGGAUUAGAAACCCCGGUAGUCC